This 102-nucleotide small nuclear RNA is filed under the name Salvator merianae (Argentine black and white tegu). The record is from RNAcentral. Lineage: Eukaryota; Metazoa; Chordata; Lepidosauria; Squamata; Teiidae.
UUGUUUUGGCAGCACUGUUACUAAAACUGGAACAACACAGAAGAAACCAGCAGGACCCCUGUGGAAGGAUGAGACAUUUGUGAAGGGUUCUUCCAAAUCCUU